This is a long non-coding RNA of Mirounga angustirostris (Northern elephant seal), 654 nucleotides long. RefSeq lists it as uncharacterized. The transcript is spliced from 4 exons. The record is from RefSeq and is a predicted model, not a curated record. NCBI's taxonomy places the organism in Eukaryota, Metazoa, Chordata, Mammalia, Carnivora, Phocidae.
UUUCGGCCAGAGGGGGCGGGGGCCUCGGCGUGGGGGCGGGGCCAGCAUGCCGCUCGCGCUAGGCCCCGCCCCCCUGACGCACAGUCCGGCCAGCUGCAGGGAUGGUACAAGCAGGAUUGCAUUUCCUGGCUUCCUUGUAGUUGGGAUGAGUCACAUGACACAUUCUGCCAUGAAUUGUGAGCAUAGCAUUUAAUUGCUGAUGCAAGACCUUCCAGAACUCUUUUUGCUCUUUGCCAUGGCAAUCAACAAUGUUCCAGAGAGUAUAUGCUCUGUAAGUCUUGGUCUUAGAGGGAGGAUGAUGCAGAAAAGAGUCCCAUUCACCUCAUGAUGGAUAUUUAAAAGUAUCACCUUUAUUCUACAUAUGGACAUAGGUAGGAGGAGACUGCAGUGGGGUCUGUAUCACUCAUGCUCAAGUGAACACAUCUGGGCCCAAAGUUGUCUUCCAGGAUCAGAUGGAGAAGCUGGAGUAUCCCUUCUGAGGAAUUCCUUCUAAGGAAUCUCUACCUCAGCAUGCUUGCAGGGCAAAAGUAGUGCUGAGCUCUUCUCACCAAGCCACAAGGCAUGCAGGAUCUUGCUACAAAGAAUAUGGUAAGGAGAUGCAUUUCCUCCCCCAAGUCGGCUGUCUCCAUUUGUAACUGAUACUACAUACAGCAG